GACGAACGCUGGCGGCGUGGAUUAGGCAUGCAAGUCGAACGGUAUCAUCCUUUCGGGGGUGAGAGAGUGGCGAACUGGUGAGUAACACGUAGGUUAUCUACCCUCAAGACGGGGACAACCCAGGGAAACUUGGGCUAAUACCGGAUGUGAGCAACUUUUAGUUGUUUGAAAGGUGGCGUAAGCUGUCGCUUGGGGAUGAGCCUGCGUCCUAUUAGUUAGUUGGUGAGGUAACGGCUCACCUAGGCAAUGAUAGGUAGGCGGCCUUAACGGGUGGUCGCCCACACUGGGAUUGAGAUACGGCCCAGACUCCUACGGGAGGCAGCAGUCGAGAAUAGUCUACAAUGGUCGGAAGACUGAUAGUGCGACGCCGCGUGAACGAUGAAUCCCUUCGGGGCGUAAAGUUCUUUUAUAUGUGAGCAGUGCUUCUUAUAUUAACAGUAUGGGGAGAGAGAUAUUAGCAUAUGAAUAAGCAACGGCUAACUCCGUGCCAGCAGCCGCGGUAAUA
Molecule: ribosomal RNA, 505 nt
Filed under: uncultured bacterium
Lineage: Bacteria
Description: bacterial SSU rRNA
Rfam family: Bacterial small subunit ribosomal RNA
Source: RNAcentral